AUUGAACGCUGGCGGCAGGCCUAACACAUGCAAGUCGAACGGUAACAGGAAGAAGCUUGCUUCUUUGCUGACGAGUGGCGGACGGGUGAGUAAUGUCUGGGAAACUGCCUGAUGGAGGGGGAUAACUACUGGAAACGGUAGCUAAUACCGCAUAACGUCGCAAGACCAAAGAGGGGGACCUUCGGACCUCUUGCCAUCGGAUGUGCCCAGAUGGGAUUAGCUAGUAGGUGGGGUAACGGCUCACCUAGGUGACGAUCCCUACCUGGUCUGAGAGGAUGACCAGCCACACUGGAACUGAGACACGGUCAAGACUCCUACGGGAGGCAGCAGUGGGGAAUAUUGCGCAGAGGGCGGAAGCCUGAUGCAGCCAGGCCGCGUGUAUGAAGAAGGCCUUCGGGUUGUAAAGUACUUUCAGCGGGGAGGAAGGGAGUAAAGUUAAUACCUUUGCUCAUUGACGUUACCCGCAGAAGAAGCACCGGCUAACUACGUG
This 490-nucleotide ribosomal RNA is filed under the name uncultured bacterium. RNAcentral describes it as "partial 16S ribosomal RNA". It matches the Rfam family "Bacterial small subunit ribosomal RNA", at positions 30 to 507 of the family's 1533-position model. The record is from RNAcentral.